UACAAAUGAAAUAAAAUAUUUUCUAAGUGAUAGUUAUAAUUCAUUAUUUAUAUAAAUCGCGAAUUAUAUUAUUCUGUAAUUGGUGAUACAAUCUCAAUCGAUAAGAUUGUUGUCAUUUCAAUUGAAAGUUACGAAAUUGAAUUAAAAAGAAA
Molecule: long non-coding RNA, 152 nt
Filed under: Polistes fuscatus (common paper wasp)
Lineage: Eukaryota; Metazoa; Arthropoda; Insecta; Hymenoptera; Vespidae
Description: uncharacterized LOC122524345
Source: RNAcentral